AUGAAUCUUAUUAGUUGGAACUGCCGGGGAGGGGGGAAUACCCGGACAAUUCGAGAGAUAGCGACCAUAUCGCAGUCGCAUUCCCCCAUGUUUGUAUUUGUGUGCGAGACAAGGCAAACAUCAAGUAAAAUGAAGAGAACCGGGAGUAGAAUUGGUUUGAAGGGGUUCGAAGGAGUAGAUAGUAUUGGGAUGAGUGGUGGACUAGCCCUGUUUUGGCAUGAA
RNAcentral lists this ribosomal RNA (222 nucleotides) under Triticum aestivum (bread wheat). RNAcentral describes it as "partial small subunit ribosomal RNA". Lineage: Eukaryota; Viridiplantae; Streptophyta; Magnoliopsida; Poales; Poaceae. The record is from RNAcentral.